Regulatory RNA element from Clunio marinus, 112 nucleotides. It matches the Rfam family "Potassium channel RNA editing signal". From Rfam's summary of the family: This family represents a group of sequences related to the human potassium channel Kv1.1 hairpin element which directs the efficient modification of an adenosine to inosine by an adenosine deaminase acting on RNA (ADAR). The ADAR modification causes an isoleucine/valine recoding event which lies in the ion-conducting pore of the potassium channel. The record is from Rfam. NCBI's taxonomy places the organism in Eukaryota, Metazoa, Arthropoda, Insecta, Diptera, Chironomidae.
AUUGAAAUAAAAACAGGUACCGGAAACAACAGUUGGAAAAAUUGUUGGCGGCGUUUGUUCCCUCAGCGGAAUUCUUGUUAUUGCUCUUCCCGUUCCUGUCAUUGUAUCGAAC